RNAcentral lists this ribosomal RNA (833 nucleotides) under archaeon enrichment culture. RNAcentral describes it as "bacterial SSU rRNA". It matches the Rfam family "Archaeal small subunit ribosomal RNA", at positions 20 to 859 of the family's 1478-position model. The record is from RNAcentral.
GCGGCUACUGCUAUCAGGUUUCGACUAAGCCAUGCGAGUCAAGGGGUCGUAAGACACCGGCGUACUGCUCAGUAACACGCGGACAAUCUACCCCCAGGUGGAGGAUAACCUCGGGAAACUGAGGCUAAUACCCCAUAGUUGUCAUGUGCUGGAAUGCUUUGACGAUGAAAGAAUUUCGCCUGAGGAUGAGUCUGCGGCCUAUCAGGUAGUAUGUGGUGUAAAGGACCACAUAGCCUAAGACGGGUACGGGCCUUGAAAGAGGGGGCCCGGAGAUGGACUCUGAGACACUAGUCCAGGCCCUACGGGGCGCAGCAGGCGCGAAAACUGUGCAAUGCGCGCAAGCGCGACACGGGAAGCCUGAGUGCCUUAACUAUGUUAAGGCUUUUCUUGAUCCUAAAAAGCUCAAGGAAUAAGAGCUGGGUAAGACGGGUGCCAGCCGCCGCGGUAACACCCGCGGCUCGAGUGGUAGUCACUUUUAUUGAGCCUAAAGCGUUUGUAGCCGGACUUGUAAAUCUCUAGGAAAAUACUUCUGCUUAACUGAAGAAAUUUUGGAGAGACUGCAAAUCUAGGGACCGGGUGAGGUUGAAUGUACUUCUGGGGUAGGGGUAAAAUCCUGUAAUCCUGGAAGGACGACCGGUGGCGAAGGCGUUCAACUAGAACGGAUCCGACGGUGAGGAACGAAGGCUAGGGGAGCAAACCGGAUUAGAUACCCGGGUAGUCCUAGCUGUAAACACUGCCCACUUGGUGUUGCAUCUCCGGUAAGGGGGUGCAGUGCCGUAGCGAAGGUGUUAAGUGGGCCGCUUGGGGAGUAUGGUCGCAAGGCUGAAACUUAA